GAGGGGCCUGCGUCCCAUCAGCUAGUUGGUAAGGUAAAGGCUUACCAAGGCUAUGACGGGUAGGGGACCUGAGAGGGUGGCCCCCCACAAUGGAACUGAAACACGGUCCAUACACCUACGGGUGGCAGCAGUAGGGAAUAUUAGUAAUGGGCGAAAGCCUGAACUAGCAACGCCGCGUGUGCGAAGAAGGCCUUCGGGUUGUAAAGCACUUUUUGAGAGGAUGAGGAAGGACGGUACUCUCAGAAUAAGUCUCGGCUAACUACGUGCCAGCAGCCGCGGUAACACGUAGGAGGCGAACGUUAUCCGGAUUUACUGGGCGUAAAGCGCGUGUAGGUGGUUUGGUAAGUAGGGCGUGAAAGCUCCUGGCUCAACUGGGAGAGGCCGUUCUAAACUGCCGAACUAGAGGAUGGUAGAGGGAGGUGGAAUUCCGGGUGUAGCGGUGGAAUGCGCAGAUAUCCGGAGGAACACCAGUGGCGAAAGCGGCCUCCUGGACCACUCCUGACACUCAGACGCGAAAGCUAGGGUAGCAAACGGGAUUAGAGACCCCGGUAGUCCUAGCCCUAAA
RNAcentral lists this ribosomal RNA (565 nucleotides) under uncultured bacterium. Its description in RNAcentral is "bacterial SSU rRNA". It matches the Rfam family "Bacterial small subunit ribosomal RNA", at positions 224 to 806 of the family's 1533-position model. The record is from RNAcentral.